Molecule: ribosomal RNA, 253 nt
Filed under: uncultured bacterium
Lineage: Bacteria
Description: partial 16S ribosomal RNA
Rfam family: Bacterial small subunit ribosomal RNA
Source: RNAcentral
UACGGAGGGAGCUAGCGUUGUUCGGAAUUACUGGGCGUAAAGCGCACGUAGGCGGCUUUGUAAGUUAGAGGUGAAAGCCCGGGGCUCAACUCCGGAACUGCCUUUAAGACUGCAUCGCUUGAAUCCAGGAGAGGUGAGUGGAAUUCCGAGUGUAGAGGUGAAAUUCGUAGAUAUUCGGAAGAACACCAGUGGCGAAGGCGGCUCACUGGCCCAUAACUGACGCUGAGGCACGAAAGCGUGGGGAGCAAACAGG